CUCAAGCUGCCUCCUGUUACAGAAAAGCAAAGCAACUAAAAACGGCAGCUGGGGAGCUCAGUUGACUCACCCAGCAUAAUCAUCUCCUCCUAGAAUCUCCCAUCUUCUCCUGGGGUUUUUGCCAACACAAAGUAAAAAAGAAGCAUGAGAUCUUUAAAAAUAAAAACAACAACAACAACAAAACCCACAAAAAACCUCUCUCAGCAUUUAUGCAACAGCCUUUCUACCUGAGUGCAGAUUUAACCCUUUGUAUUUGCCCUUUCCAGCGUGGUUUCCUUAGAACGUCCUCAUGCCGAGGAGCAGAUCCAGCUCCAGGCUGGGAAACAGGCCUUCUGGGUCCUCUCCAGUUCCAGCUCCACACUGGAAGGUGCUGAAUAAGACAUGUGCCUCCUUCCACUGCAUCCUCCUCUGGAAGUGGAAAAAAAGACUGCCUCCCUAGUCCUCCGGCCUCAAAGCGGGUAUUGGAGGAGGAGGAGGAAAUAUCAGCACACACACGGGGACAGCGCUUGCCGCCCCGGGAGCUGUGGCCAGAGGUCGGAGCUCAAGCAGGGGAAUGAGUGAGGGAAACCACCUAAGGUCAUCACUGUCCUCUCACCUCAGAGCAGUCCCCACCUGGCCGGGCUGCAACGUGGCCGCCCCACGUAUGUGACCAUUACAAAUCCAACUGGCCACUCCGCAUGAGCAAAGCCCCCGUGAGGCUGCUCCUGCUCACAGGCGGAGGUGUCAUCUUCCUCCGAGCGGGUGAGUGCACCUGAGUGGUGGCACUGGCUGUUUCCAGUGCCUCCUGACAAUGAGUCCAAUCGGCUAAAAUUGAGAACUUGGCCUCACUCAUCCCUUAGAGGGAUCGCAGGAGUGAGUGUAGCUCUCAGACAACCUUUCUGGGUGGGAAGUGGUGCCUCUGUGUGUUUCUUUUUGUCUUUGUCAUUUGGUACCCAGAAGGACAACUUACUUUUCCUAAGAGAUGCUAUGACUACAAACUAAUGAGAAUACUUCCACAAAGCACAUGCAAAUGUGCUGCGGCACACUGGUCAAGAAAUCCCCAACUUACCAGAAGUUCCAUCUGGAGAAGAACAAAUGGUGGCUGUGUCUUAGACCCGCUCACGAGGGCCCACCAUUGUAUCUGAAGCAGUACGUUAACCGCACUUAAGAUUUAAACCAUAGCCCAGAACGGGAAAACUAACUCAAGAGUUCUGCCUUGGGACAUGUCUUUGCUCCCCAAGCAGCACGGGCAGCAGUAACUGAGGCUCUGUAACCUUCAAACCCCGGGUGAGGGCCUAAAACAAGGGGACUGGAGCUGGGGGAGGGGGCUUCAAAGCAUUUCGGGUGGCCGGGUAGGAGGCAGGGUAUGAGGAGAAAUGAACCCAAGCAGAAGUGAGGAAUGAGGCUGGAGUUUCAAAAGGAAUUUUGAGUGGGUACUGCCUUACAGGAAAGAAGGGCUAAUUCUGGAAGACCACUCUAGCUCUCUCUCUUCCAGCUAGAGAGAGAAAAGGGAGCCUGGGACAGUCCCCUGAUUUAUCAGGGGCAAAUGCUCCUUAGAAUGAUCUCCCUGCUCGGCACCUGAAGCCAGGGAUGUGCUUCCCAUCUACCUCACUGGGCCCACUGUGGCCUCAACCCUGGGCCAAGGACAGAGACUGCAGGACCCUGUUAUUAAGUGGCCACGGUCUGGGCAGACCACUUUUACAAGU
Molecule: non-coding RNA, 1685 nt
Organism: Callorhinus ursinus (northern fur seal)
Lineage: Eukaryota; Metazoa; Chordata; Mammalia; Carnivora; Otariidae
Source: RefSeq, a predicted model, not a curated record